RNAcentral lists this long non-coding RNA (5853 nucleotides) under Equus caballus (horse). RNAcentral's name for it is "lncRNA (ENSECAG00000048539.1)". Lineage: Eukaryota; Metazoa; Chordata; Mammalia; Perissodactyla; Equidae. The record is from RNAcentral.
UUUUGAUUUCUCUGUAGACUACAUCAAGUUCAUCACCCAAAGACUAAUUACCAUCCAUCACUAUACACAUGUGCCCAGUCACCUCUUUUGCUCCCCUUCCUUCCCCUUUCCCCUCUCGUAACCACCUGUCCAAUCUCUAUAUCAAUGUGUUUCUUUGUUGUUGUUGUUGUUAUGUUCCACUUAUGAGUGAAAUCAUCCUGUUAUUUGAUUUUCUCCAUCUGACUUAUUUUGCUUAGCAUAAUACUCUCAAGGUCCAUCUAUGUUGUCACAAAUGGCAAGAUUUCAUCUUUUUUAUGGCUGAAUAAUAUUCCAUUCUGUGUAUACACCACAUCUUCUUUAUCCCUUCAUCCAUUGAUGGGCACCUAGGUUGUUUCCAAGUCUUGGCUAUUGUGACCAAUGCUGUAAUGAACAUAGGGGUGCAAAUACCUCUACACAUUCCUGUUUUUGUGUUCUUUGGAUAAAUAACCCAGCAGUGGAAUAGCUGGAUCAUAUGGUAGUUCUAUUCUUAAUUUUUUGAGCAAUCUCCUUACUGUUUUCCAUAGUGGCUUCAUCAGUUUACAUUCCCACCAGCAGAGUAUGAGGGUUCACUUUUCUCUGCAUCCGCUCCAACACUUGUUAUUUCUUGUCUUGUUAAUUACAGCCAUUCUGACCAGUGUGAGGUGAUAUCUCAUUGUUGUUUUCAUUUUGAUUAACAUUUAAAUCCAUGGACUUUAAGUAAAGCAGAUUAGCCUCCUUAAUGUGGGUGUGCCUCAUCAAAUCAGUUGAAGGGUCUUAAGAGAAAGACAGAGGGCCCACAAGGAAGAGGGAAUUCUACCUCCAGACUGCCCUCGGACUCCAGCUGCAGCAUCACUUCGUCCCUAGGGCUCCAGCCUGCUGGCCUCCCCUGAAAACUUUGGGAUUUGGGGUUUGCCAGCUCCCACAAUCACGUGAGCCAAUUCCUUAAAAUAACUCUCUCUCUCUCUCCACCCACACAUACACACACAUGCUAUUGGUUCUGUUUCUCUGGAGAAACCUAACUAGUAGAAGUGGAAUUUACUGAACACACCUCAGCAGCCACAGAUUUUCAAUAUAUCUCCUAAGGGGCAACUAAUUUUGCCUGUUGCCAAGUCCUGUAGGAUUUGCCAAGAUGAGUUUGCUGCAAUGGGAGGAGGCAAACUGCAGUCAGACUGCCUGGUUUCAGUCCCCAGCUCCACCACUUACUUGCUGUAUGACUUGGGCAAUUUUCAUACUCUCCGUGUGCCUCAAUUUUCUCAUUUGUAAAAUGAGAUAGAAGUUCAGGGGUACCUUAUAAGGUUGUGUAGGAUUAAAUGAGAUAAUAGAUGCAAAGUCUUUAGAAUAGUUUCUGAGACAUAGCAACACCUUAAUAAGUUUUGGAGAUGAUUACAGGUCCCCUGGAGUGCCAUAUCUGAAGCCUACAGAGCAUAUACUGUAUGUUCAGCUAGCAGAGUCUAGGGAGCACCCAAUAGUCAAGUGCUGUCAUAUUUUGCAGUGAGAUGCACUAAGAGGAGCAAAUAAAGAUCAUAAACAACCUCAUAUUGAUUCAGGUCAAGUUUUGUCCCCAAAUGGGUUAGGGAGAAAACUUGGUUUUCAGAGAUUUUUGGAUUUUGGAACUGUGGAUAAGGGAUUGCAGACCUGCCUCAUAUGAUAAUGUUUUCAAGAUACCUGAAAACAAGUUGGCUUGCUGGGUGAGCUUGUUUAAUAUUUCCCACUUGAACAAUGCAGCAUGUCUAUCAUAAAAAUAAUUUUUGUUUAGGCAUAAUUGAUAAAGAACUAUGUUUUAGACUCAACUGGGAAAUUAUAUCAGUUGCUUCUGGAGACUUCUGGUUUGGAAGACUAAAGCUAUGGCCUCAGGAUAGAGACAAUUCUUGUCUUCUUGCUGUGCUGUUUGUCACAGCAGAGCGUAUGCCUCCACUUCCCACUAAAUUCUACCUGUUCCUUGCACAAGCUGCUAGGCUGACAGACCCAGGCUGGCAAUGUGCUGGAAGGAAGCCGGGGGCGACAGGCUCUUGGUAGGAUGUGGAGGAAUUAGAAUCAUAUUCCUUUAUCCUUUCAACAUAUAUUUUUGAGCACUUACUCUGUGUCAAAUGUUGUCAGCUCUAUCUUUGUAGCAUUUUAUUGUUCAUCAUGUGCUUUCACAUUUAUUGCCUCUUUUAGUAACCCUAUGAAGAAGAUGUAGUAAAUAUUGUCAUCCUUGUUUCACUGGUUAAGAAAGUUUGUGUCACUUUAAGGCACAGAUGUAGCUGAUCUGAAGCAUAAGCCCAGUUCUUCACUUUUUUCUACUCCACGAGUAAUAGAGGUUUGCACUUUAUGAAAAUAGGGAUGAAUAUAUGUUUGGAACCCAUAAAUAGUGAACUAUUGGCAAUGGUGGGUGCCAACCAUCAAAAUAGGAUUUAAGUAGCUAAACAUCUUCUCAUGGAACCUGUUUCAGCUUAAGGUGGUUAAUCAGAUAUUUCAUGUUAUAAGGGUUACCUUGUGCUUUGGAUGCUGUGCGGCAUUGCCCACAUUCCCUCUUCAGGACUAAAGGGCUUAGUCCCUUAGCUACCGGGAAGGUUGUUGGCUAAUGUCUCUCUCUGGGAAUUGCCAUCAGGUGGAGAGAGAGCCCCACCCUCUUUGAGGUUCACCUGCAUCCCAUGAUGCUGAGAUAUAAAAGUUCCACCCCCUUCUCCUGACUGGGGACAACUCUGAACGGCCAUUCCUGCUCUAGACUUCCCUGUGGGGUUAGCUGAGACCUUGCUGCACCUCCACCAUGGCCCAGUUUCCAGUCUGACUCCUCCCGCGUUUGUUCCACAGCUGUUGAACCAAGGGCACUCCCAAAUACACCUCUGCACUUAAAUCAUCAUCUCAGAGUCUGCGUCCAGGGGACCACAACCUGCGAAACCAGGUCUCAGUGGGUGAAGGAAAAAAGUAGUUCUCAGAACAGAAAAUUACAUGAGGAACUUGAAGGACAAGGCGUUUGUUGGAAUGGGAGACGCAGAACAUUAGAGCAGACUGGAAUACUUUUGGUAAUGAAGCAUGGGGUUGAAAUGAUGUGAAAGGGAAAUCAUUUAACCAUGUAGACUGAACAAAGGAGAAUUCCAUGAUAAUGACUCCAGGACCUAGUUUUCAGGAAAGGAAAAUGAUGGACAUUGGAAUGAGGUCACCCUGGCCGUGUGGCAUUGGAUCCAUCAGUCCACUUGGGUUUGGCAACCUGGUUUGAUUCUCUGCCAGAGCAUGAGUUAGUUUUCAUCUCAACAGUCCUCCCACUUCUUUGAGGGUAAAAAAUAGGCCCAUUUUGUAAUAUACUGCAAGAUAUCUCAGGGUAAGAGCUAUUUUAGGGAAGGAGGAUUUUCACAAACAAACUGGCGACUCACUUUGAACUGGAGUUUCCAGGUUAAAACAGUUGCAUUUGCUGGGGAAAAGGAAGAGCUGUUAUUGUUGUCAUUGUUUUUUCUAGUAUAUCCUACCAUGCAACUGCUUUGGGAUAAUAACAAAAUGAUUUCACUAUGGAAAAACUGCAGAGAAAAGGAACUGGGCUCUUUGAUUGGCUAAUAAUGAACAUAAAGGACUUCAUGCUUGUUGAAUGGCAGAUUGAAAUCCACUGUGUAUUCAUGCAGAUCUUAUGGGGGUGGUGUUGGAUUGGACCACAAAUUAGUGUUGGCAUUAAUGAGAUGGAAGCCAUAAAAUGCAGAGAGUUCCAAUAACCAUGAUCUCUGAUAAGGCCUGAUUGAAAACACCCAGACUUUUCAGACAAGUUGUGUGUGAGAGCAGAGCAAUAAACAACAGAGACAUCCAAAAUGGGGGAAAACUGGGGAUUAUAUAACGGACUGAAGUGGUGUUAGGAUGGUUAAAAUGACACAGUACAGCUGAGUGACAAACAUAGCCUUGCCUAGAAUAAUAAUUUUUAGAAACAGACACUGUUUAGAUACUGCUCAAAUGAUUGGAGAGAAAGAUUAUGCCCGUUCGUUGUAGGGAAGUUAGUCUAAAUCACGGACUGCUCUGUGACAAUACCACCACUGCCACUGCCAAUACUUACACACUUUAUAUGUGAUAUGUGUUGUGAUUUAUAGGUUACCACGCCCUUAGCAUUUGUUAUCCUGUUUAAUCCUCACAAUAUUUGCACAUCGAUAGUUGAAUACAUGUCUGUGCACCCAGUUAGCUUUUGAAUUCCAUGGCUGCAGGAACUGGGUCUUAUUCAUUUUAUGAAGCUUCUCCUCUUUCCAUUUAAUUGGCAUGAAUUCUUCUAGGUAAUUUGUUUCAAAGAACACUGCCAGGUGGAAAUCUCUCUUUCCCAGCAUUUCUGGGAUUAUCUGGCAUAUAGAAUAAAUGCUAUUGUGGCAACAUUAUAUUAUGUAAUGACAUUAAGUUGAUAAAUGAACAGAAGACAACAUGUAACAUUAACACAGGUGGCUUGCAUUUGCCCAUGGAAUUCUUGGAUGACCUCAGUCUGCAAAACUCAUCCGCAACCACUGUCAGUAUAUUCUCUUGCCCAAGUACGCUAACAAGGCCUUGGUGAGCAUAUGUGCAUCUUUAUCAAACCUUCUGGCUUCCUAGAACUCCAUCAUUAAGUUUUCAGGAUUUUUGUCUCAGUUUUGUCUCAGGUGAACAAGAUGGUACCUCUCCUGUUGGUGCCGCCCUUGCUUAUUUGUUGCUCAACCUUCAGUCUUUCAUUUUCUGUCCCUCUAGGGAAGUCCUGGGUCAUGAAGUAUUGCUCGUCCAGUCUGCUUUUUGUUCAAGGCACACACAGUGGUUGCUGUGUCACUAUGGGGACAAGAUUGUGUGGGAGAAUUUAUUUCAUUUCCUUGAUGGUCAUCAUCUUGGUUUUGUUCUUCCACAUCCUCAUUUGCCGUAUAACCUGAGAGUUACUUCAGUGCCUCUGUGUCCUUCAAGGGCCUCUUUGGGUAUGCUGGCCUUUAACCUGCCUUUUUUGUAGUUUGUCCUUUCUAUUAAAGUUUGAUAUAUUUGUGUCCAGCACAGAGCCUGACAUGCACUGUAUGUUUAUUUAGUAAAUGUUGAAAUGAAUGGAACUACCCUGCAUGAGAGAGGCCCUCUAUAUUCAUUAUAAGUAUGAGGAACAUUAAAUUAAGAGAAGUUACAUCUACAAUCUUCGGUAAAAAUUUACAGCUGAGAAGACCCUUAGCUAUCAACUAGGCCUGCCCACCUCAUCCCCACUGUUUGUAUUGAUAAGGAAAUUAAAUUAGAAGGGAAUCAUCUUUCCUAGUAUCUAGUAGUGAGUGGUUUAGUAAAGACUAGAACUCUGAGCCAUGGUCAGCAUCUGUCUCCUCACACAUCUUUCUCGUGGGUAACAACAGUAGACACAGAGAUGCUCCUGUGUGCACCAUAUUGAUCUUAUUUCAACAUCUUUCUACCAGGCAUGGCAUGUUGAUGGCUUUUUAUUUACAUUCCUUGAUGACUUCGUGUCUUGGCAUACCAAGAAUUUAAGAAAUGUCAGGGAGGGAACUCGCUGGUACAGAAUCAUAGAAUCUACAGGUCACAGGGUCCUCAGGCCAGUCAUGCUCUGAAGUUUGCAUCUCCAUCUACAACGUGCUGAUAGGUGGUCAGCCAGACUCUGUCGGAACAUUCAUGUCCUCUCUCUUUGGACAGAGCUGACUCUCAGGAUUUGGCUGAAAUCCGUCUUCCUAGAGCCUUCACUUAAGGUCCAUGUCCGCCCCUGUGGGGACACUCAGAACAACUGAAUUUCUGGCUCCCAUGGCAGUUCUUCCAGUUUCAUUUUCCAUGAUGGUUCUCUGUCUACAUUAACAGUUUCUUUCUAACAGUGUUUCCUGGCCUUUUGAACUCCAAGGCAGAUAUUAAAAGUGAUAAUGUUUGCACGGCACCCUGGGGUGAACCCUAGAGGAAUUAGGAUUGUUUGUCUGG